RNAcentral lists this ribosomal RNA (969 nucleotides) under human gut metagenome. RNAcentral describes it as "bacterial SSU rRNA". It matches the Rfam family "Bacterial small subunit ribosomal RNA", at positions 540 to 1520 of the family's 1533-position model. The record is from RNAcentral.
GUUAUCCGGAUUUAUUGGGUUUAAAGGGUGCGUAGGCGGUUUAUUAAGUUAGUGGUUAAAUAUUUGAGCUAAACUCAAUUGUGCCAUUAAUACUGGUAAACUGGAGUACAGACGAGGUAGGCGGAAUGUAAGUUAAGUAGCGGUGAAAUGCAUAGAUAUAACUUAGAACUCCGAUAGCGAAGGCAGCUUACCAGACUGUAACUGACGCUGAUGCACGAGAGCGUGGGUAGCGAACAGGAUUAGAUACCCUGGUAGUCCACGCCGUAAACGAUGCUCACUGGUUCUGUGCGAUAUAUUGUACGGGAUUAAGCGAAAGUAUUAAGUGAGCCACCUGGGGAGUACGUCGGCAACGAUGAAACUCAAAGGAAUUGACGGGGGCCCGCACAAGCGGAGGAACAUGUGGUUUAAUUCGAUGAUACGCGAGGAACCUUACCUGGGUUUAAAUGGGAAAUGUCGUAUUUGGAAACAGAUAUUCUCUUCGGAGCGUUUUUCAAGGUGCUGCAUGGUUGUCGUCAGCUCGUGCCGUGAGGUGUCGGGUUAAGUCCCAUAACGAGCGCAACCCUUACCGUUAGUUGCUAGCAUGUAAUGAUGAGCACUCUAACGGGACUGCCACCGUAAGGUGAGAGGAAGGCGGGGAUGACGUCAAAUCAGCACGGCCCUUACACCCAGGGCUACACACGUGUUACAAUGGCCGGUACAGAGGGCCGCUACCAGGUGACUGGAUGCCAAUCUCAAAAGCCGGUCGUAGUUCGGAUUGGAGUCUGUAACCCGACUCCAUGAAGUUGGAUUCGCUAGUAAUCGCGCAUCAGCCAUGGCGCGGUGAAUACGUUCCCGGGCCUUGUACACACCGCCCGUCAAGCCAUGGAAGCCGGGGGUGCCUGAAGUCCGUAACCGCGAGGAUCGGCCUAGGGCAAAACUGGUAACUGGGGCUAAGUCGUAACAAGGUAGCCGUACCGGAAGGUGCGGCUG